RNAcentral lists this ribosomal RNA (900 nucleotides) under uncultured archaeon. RNAcentral describes it as "bacterial SSU rRNA". It matches the Rfam family "Archaeal small subunit ribosomal RNA", at positions 23 to 922 of the family's 1478-position model. The record is from RNAcentral.
GUUACUGCUAUCGGAGUUCGAUUAAGCCAUGCGAGUCUAAAGGUUUCUUCGGAAACCUUGGCGGACUGCUCAGUAACACGUGGAUAACCUACCCUUGGGACUGGAAUAACCCCGGGAAACUGGGGAUAAUACCGGAUAGAUCAGGGAUGCUGGAAUGCACCUUGAUCCAAAGCUCCGGCGCCCAAGGAUGGGUCUGCGGCCUAUCAGGUUGUAGUGGGUGUAACGUACCUACUAGCCGACGACGGGUACGGGUUGUGAGAGCAAGAGCCCGGAGAUGGAUUCUGAGACACGAAUCCAGGCCCUACGGGGUGCAGCAGGCGCGAAAACUUUACAAUGUGCGAAAGCAUGAUAAGGGAACUCCGAGUGCCAGUAUCUAAUACUGGCUGUCCUUGUGCCUAAAACGCACAAGAUAGCAAGGGCCGGGUAAGACCGGUGCCAGCCGCCGCGGUAACACCGGCGGCCCGAGUGGUAGCCGCUAUUAUUGGGUCUAAAGGGUCCGUAGCCGGUUCGAUAAGUCCUCUGGGAAAUCUGGUUGCUUAACAAUCAGACUGCCAAGGGAUACUGUCGAACUAGAGACCGGGAGAGGUAAGAGGUACUUCAGGGGUAGGAGUGAAAUCUUGUAAUCCCUGGGGGACCAUCUGUGGCGAAGGCGUCUUACCAGAACGGGUCUGACGGUGAGGGACGAAAGCUGGGGGCGCAAACCGGAUUAGAUACCCGGGUAGUCCCAGCCGUAAACGAUGCUCGCUAUGUGUCAGGUACGGUGUGACCGUAUCUGGUGCCGUAGGGAAGCCGUGAAGCGAGCCACCUGGGAAGUACGGUCGCAAGACUGAAACUUAAAGGAAUUGGCGGGGGAGCACUACAACGGGUGGAGCCUGCGGUUUAAUUGGAUUCAACGCCGGA